AGAGUUUGAUUCUGGCUCAGGAUGAACGCUAGCGGCAGGCCUAACACAUGCAAGUCGCGGGGCAGCACGGGUAGCAAUACCUGGUGGCGACCGGCGCACGGGUGCGUAACGCGUAUGCAACCUGCCCCCAUCAGGGGAAUAGCCCGCCGAAAGGCGGAUUAAUGCCCCAUGGGCCCAGGGCGCCGCAUGGCGCUAUGGGUAAAGCUCCGGCGGAUGGGGAUGGGCAUGCGCGCCAUUAGCUAGUUGGGGCGGUAACGGCGCACCAAGGCGACGAUGGCUAGGGGGUCUGAGAGGAUGGUCCCCCACACUGGUACUGAGACACGGACCAGACUCCUACGGGAGGCAGCAGUGAGGAAUAUUGGUCAAUGGGCGGAAGCCUGAACCAGCCAUGCCGCGUGCAGGAUGACGGCCCUACGGGUUGUAAACUGCUUUUCCCCGGGAAGAAUAAGCCCCUCGUGAGGGGUGAUGCCGGUACCGGGGAAUAAGGAUCGGCUAACUCCGUGCCAGCAGCCGC
RNAcentral lists this ribosomal RNA (514 nucleotides) under uncultured bacterium. Its description in RNAcentral is "bacterial SSU rRNA". It matches the Rfam family "Bacterial small subunit ribosomal RNA", at positions 8 to 518 of the family's 1533-position model. The record is from RNAcentral.